AGUGAACGCUGGCGGUAGGCCUAACACAUGCCAGUCGAACGGCAGCACAGUAAGAGCUUGCUCUUACGGGUGGCGAGUGGCGGACGGGUGAGGAAUACAUCGGAAUCUACUUUUUCGUGGGGGAUAACGUAGGGAAACUUACGCUAAUACCGCAUACGACCUACGGGUGAAAGCAGGGGAUCUUCGGACCAUGCGCGAUUGAAUGAGCCGAUGUCGGAUUAGCUAGUUGGCGGGGUAAAGGCCCACCAAGGCGACGAUCCGUAGCUGGUCUGAGAGGAUGAUCAGCCACACUGGAACUGAGACACGGUCCAGACUCCUACGGGAGGCAGCAGUGGGGAAUAUUGGACAAUGGGCGCAAGCCUGAUCCAGCCAUACCGCGUGGGUGAAGAAGGCCUUCGGGUUGUAAAGCCCUUUUGUUGGGAAAGAAAAGCAGCAGGUUAAUACCCCGCUGUUCUGACGGUACCCAAAGAAUAAGCACCGGCUAACUUCGUG
RNAcentral lists this ribosomal RNA (492 nucleotides) under uncultured bacterium. RNAcentral describes it as "partial 16S ribosomal RNA". It matches the Rfam family "Bacterial small subunit ribosomal RNA", at positions 29 to 507 of the family's 1533-position model. The record is from RNAcentral.